RNAcentral lists this ribosomal RNA (468 nucleotides) under uncultured bacterium. Its description in RNAcentral is "partial 16S ribosomal RNA". It matches the Rfam family "Bacterial small subunit ribosomal RNA", at positions 28 to 507 of the family's 1533-position model. The record is from RNAcentral.
GACGAACGCUGGCGGCGUGCUUAACACAUGCAAGUCGAACGGAAAGGCCCUGCUUUUGUGGGGUGCUCGAGUGGCGAACGGGUGAGUAACACGUGAGUAACCUGCCCUUGACUUUGGGAUAACUUCAGGAAACUGGGGCUAAUACCGGAUAGGAGCUCCUGCUGCAUGGUGGGGGUUGGAAAGUUUCGGCGGUUGGGGAUGGACUCGCGGCUUAUCAGCUUGUUGGUGUGGUAGUGGCUUACCAAGGCUUUGACGGAUAGCCGGCCUGAGAGGGUGACCGGCCACAUUGGGCCUGAGGUACGGCCCAGACUCCUACGGGAGGCAGCAGGGGGGAAUAUUGCACAAUGGGGGGAAGCCAGAUGCAGCAACGCCGCGUGCGGGAUGACGGCCUUCGGGUUGUAAACCGCUUUCGCCUGUGACGAAGCGUGAGUGACGGUAAUGGGUAAAGAAGCACCGGCUAACUACGUG